GCGAAAACUUUACAAUGCUGGCAACAGCGAUAAGGGAACCUCGAGUGCCAGGUUACAAAUCUGGCUGUCGAGAUGCCUAAAAAGCAUUUCAUAGCAAGGGCCGGGCAAGACCGGUGCCAGCCGCCGCGGUAACACCGGUGGCUCGAGUGGUAACCGUUAUUAUUGGGUCUAAAGGGUCUGUAGCCGGCCGGAUAAGUCUCUUGAGAAAUCUGGCAGCUUAACUGUCAGGCUUUCAGGAGAUACUGUCUGGCUCGAGGCCGGGAGAGGUGAGAGGUACUUCAGGGGUAGGGGUGAAAUCUUGUAAUCCUUGAAGGACCACCAGUGGCGAAGGCGUCUCACCAGAACGGACCUGACGGCAAGGGACGAAAGCUAGGGGGCACGAACC
This 385-nucleotide ribosomal RNA is filed under the name uncultured prokaryote. RNAcentral's name for it is "bacterial SSU rRNA". It matches the Rfam family "Archaeal small subunit ribosomal RNA", at positions 341 to 725 of the family's 1478-position model. The record is from RNAcentral.